This 495-nucleotide ribosomal RNA is filed under the name uncultured bacterium. RNAcentral's name for it is "partial 16S ribosomal RNA". It matches the Rfam family "Bacterial small subunit ribosomal RNA", at positions 29 to 507 of the family's 1533-position model. The record is from RNAcentral.
AUGAACGCUGGCGGCGUGCCUAAUACAUGCAAGUCGAGCGAACAGAUGAGGAGCUUGCUCCUCUGACGUUAGCGGCGGACGGGUGAGUAACACGUGGAUAACCUACCUAUAAGACUGGGAUAACUUCGGGAAACCGGAGCUAAUACCGGAUAAUAUAUUGAACCGCAUGGUUCAAUAGUGAAAGACGGUUUUGCUGUCACUUAUAGAUGGAUCCGCGCCGCAUUAGCUAGUUGGUAAGGUAACGGCUUCCAAGGCAACGAUGCGUAGCCGACCUGAGAGGGUGAUCGGCCACACUGGAACUGAGACACGGUCCAGACUCCUACGGGAGGCAGCAGUAGGGAAUCUUCCGCAAUGGGCGAAAGCCUGACGGAGCAACGCCGCGUGAGUGAUGAAGGUCUUCGGAUCGUAAAACUCUGUUAUUAGGGAAGAACAAAUGUGUAAGUAACUAUGCACGUCUUGACGGUACCUAAUCAGAAAGCCACGGCUAACUACGUG